Molecule: RNA transcript, 1400 nt
Organism: Cyprinus carpio (common carp)
Lineage: Eukaryota; Metazoa; Chordata; Actinopteri; Cypriniformes; Cyprinidae
Gene name: INO80 complex subunit C-like
Exons: 6
Source: RefSeq, a predicted model, not a curated record
UACAAACGUCUGGCACGUUCUCAUUACUUCCGGGUGAACGGGAUGUUGUGACUAGCUGCAGGCUAAUGUGUUUAUUAAAUUUCAGGUUAUGUUUGUAAAAAGUCAAUGAAGACAAAUGUCUGCCCCUUCUGAACCGGGAGUAUCAAAAGCAAAGGAUUUGAAUCCAGCGACGCUUUCGACGGGUAAAGCUGUGACCGCGGCGGCGUUAGUUGCUCAGGCCCGGAGUAAGAAACGUGUUAGUCCCGCGACCCCCACAACCGCGCAGCCAAAUAAUAACAGUGCUAAAAAGAAAAAAACACAGCCUGCAUCGUCAACUACUCAAGCUCAGGUUGCUCCUUUGGAGUCCACUACUGAGGGAAAACCUGUGGGAGCUGUUGAUGUAGAAACUUCUGCCAAAUGUCUUCCUUUUAAGAACCCCAACUUUGUGCACUCAGGUAUUGGUGGAGCAGCAGCAGGGAAGAAGAAUCGGACGUGGAAGAAUCUGAAGCAGAUUCUAGCAGCGGAGAAAGCACUGCCCUGGAAAAUCACUGAUCCUAACUACUGCAGUAUAGAUGCACCUCCCUCUAUGAAACCUGCUAAAAAGUACUCAGACAUCUCAGGUCUUCUGGCAAACUAUACUGACCCUCAGACUAAACUGCACUUUGCAUCGACGGAAGAGUUUUCUUACAUCCGUCAGUUGCCAACAGAUGUGGUGACUGGAUACCUGACUCUACGUAAAGCCACCUGCAUUGUGCCCUAAUGGAGUACUCUUCCCCCAAACAAACAUGUACUUGCUGACUGAACACUGAAUGCUACAGGAUGUAAAGGACAAACAUACUUUUUAUUUUGCUCUCAUCUACCAGCAUCAUGAGGUAUUUACAGUGAUGCAUUGAAGGAAGAACCAACAAACCCGAAAUUUCUCACACAUUCUUCUAAGAAAGCCUCAACUUUUUUUGAGUUACUCAUUGAAGCUACAUUAAGAAAGCACUGUAAACUAAACACCUGUAAACAAUUAUAUGCUAACUCGAUAAAUAGAACAACAGUCUUGCCACUGUCUUAUAUGGAGCCCAAUUGACUUCAUUUGUUCGUGCUUAGAACUGUAGAAUGAGACUGAAAAACCAUCACAGGCAAAAGUGACAAAAGGUAUGUAGUGUCCUGAAGAUGAGGACAGAGCUGAAGACAGACUUGUUAAAAGGAAGACUCUGGAGAUGUUAUUAACAUACAACAAUCAGUAUUUUUACUGAGUGAAAGAUUUCAGAUAGCUGAAAAAUUUUAUUCCUUUAUGAGUUCAUUCCGUUCAAGGCAGAUGUAAUGUUACUAGCGUGGCAUGUGCAAAACUGUUUUUUCUGUUGUUAUAACUACUGUAGCUGGUAAUAUCUUCAGAGGGACAGAUCCAUCAAAAGUAUAAAACAACGGAAAGA